UAAUGGACACAGCAUGUCCUUCUGGUGUAU
Molecule: non-coding RNA, 30 nt
Filed under: Mus musculus (house mouse)
Lineage: Eukaryota; Metazoa; Chordata; Mammalia; Rodentia; Muridae
Source: RNAcentral